UUUCAGAAACAAUAACAUAUCCCAUCAUGUUCCAUAUCUGAAUUUUUUUUUUAAGGUUUUAUGUAUUUAUACAAGAGAGACAGAGAGGCAGAGGCAUAGGCAGAGGGAGGAGCAGGUUCCCUGCAGGGAGCCUGACGUGGGACUCUAUCCCAGGACCCUGGGAUCAUGACCUAAGCCAAAGGCAGACACUCAACCACUGAGCCACCCAGGUGCCCCCCAUAUCUGAUUCUUGACAAAUAUUUGAGAAAUGACUUGGAGACAGGUUUCUAUUGGAUCACAGCCAGAGAAAGGCUUCAUGGAUAUGGAAACCAAGAUACGGAAGUUUUGUAUCUUAGGGACAUAGGCCACUAAGAUAGGAGUCUGACUUUUAUAUAGCACAGCUUAUGGACCAAAAUUUGCAUGGAAAUUUAAAAGCUAAAAAGUAGUAGCUUUCAUUCUUGGUUUUAUCCUUGAAUUUCAAGCUUAUGGAAAAAAAUAUAGCUUAUUUGAUAAUAUUUAUUAAAGCAUAGACCAAAGCUUAAGAAUGUGGGCUAGCUAUACACCAACAGAGGUGUAUGUUGGAUAGAAGAAUUCACUAAGAAUGAGAUAAACUGAAAAUGUUUCUAUACUGAAUGGAAAUGCCAGGUAAUGAGCAAAGGUUAUCAGUUAUUUCCCACUCUGGUUGCAAAAUACAUUCUUGAAGAAGCAUUCAGGGUGAACAAAAACAGUAAUGAAGCAAUGAUCCCAGCUUUUUGAUGCAGAGUAUAUGAGCUCUAAUAAGAGUACAUAUUCUGAUUCCAAAAGAGACUUAAUGGUGAUAACUUAUUGUCUAAUUUUAUUUACCCCUAGACCAUUGCAAAUUCUGCAUGCAGGCACAUCACAUGGAUUGCUACAUUAUUUAGGAGCCAAGAGUAAGAAAAAAGUAUGUGAGAUGAUAAAGGGUUUGGUGCUUUAGUUGAGUGACAUAGAUUUAUGGUAUGGAAUUUAUAAAGUGAAUUCGGUUAAGGGGACCCAGUUAGCAAGACUGAUUUUCUUUCAUUCAUUUGACACUGAGUUACAACUAUAUGUUCAACACUGUUCCAGACACAGCAGGAGGGUUGUGAGGUAUGGCUGAUUGUAUACUUCCGGAGUUGGGGAAGGUAAGGAAAAGGGGAGGUUUUCAAAAGAACUUUCAUAUGCUAAAGAGGACAAGAUAUUGGAGGCCUUGCCAUGGACAAGUGAAGGUUAUUUUUCCCUGUAGCAAGGCAUUAAGACAAUUGGGAGCUUCCUGGAGGAAGCCAGGCGUAUCCCACCUGGGAGGGGGUGGUGGUUUGCAGGGUGUCAGAUUGUGGUUUGUCUUCAGCUAGCCUUUUGGUCCCUCAUCACCACCCUGAGAUCACCACUGGAGCAGAAACCUAGAGUCAAUCUCAGCCCCUAACUGACUGAGGCACCCAGGCGCCCCUCAAAGACUGAAUGAGUAUACAAUCCAGUUAGAAAAGCAUGCUUCAUCUGAAAACAAAAAUAACAACACUGUCCGAUGUUAAAUGAAAACAGCUAUGAUUUAUGAUCUUUUUUUAUGAGCCAGGCAUGAUGCUAAGUGCUUUACAUUCAUCCCCUUGAUGUUAGCCACCCUAGGAGGUAGGUGCUAUUAUCCCCAUUUUACAGAUGAGAUUGAAUUUCAAACAGCUGUGAUGACAUGCUAACGCUCACAACACUUGUCAGUGGCAGAACCCUGAUUGGAAUCCGAAACCUAAGUUCUUACAAACAAAUUGUAUGGAAAUACAGAGAAUGGGGAGGGCUUUUAGGAGUGAAGAACUGAGUUGGCCCUUAAAGUAUAGGCUUCAGAUAGGGCGAGGAGGAGUGGCCUACUAGGUAAGGCAUAUAGCAAAUGCAUGGAAUCUAGCAGAAUAUUAUAUAAGCCGAGCCGCCCAGUGAAACAUUUAUUUUUUAAAAUUUAUUUGAGGGAUCCCUGGGUGGCGCAGCGGUUUGGCGCCUGCCUUUGGCCCAGGGCGCGAUCCUGGAGAUUCGGGAUCGAAUCCCACAUCAGGCUCCCAGUGCAUGGAGCCUGCUUCUCUCUCUGCCUCUCUCUCUCUCUCUCUGUGACUAUCAUAAAUGAAUAAAAAAUUAAAAAAAAAAUAAAAUUUAUUUGAGAGAGCGAGAGAAAGCAGGAGCAAGGGGAGGAGGGACGGGGGGGGGGGGGGGCAGAGGAGAAGCAGACUCCCUGCUGAGCAGGGAGCAGGACAGGGGCUUGGUUCCAGGACCCUAGGACCCUGAUCUGAGCUGAAGGCAGACGCUUCACCGACUGAACCACCCAGGCGCCCCAAGUGGGGCAGACCUUGUUGGAAAAUGAACAGUGGGUCAAAGAUUGAACUGUAGGCAAUUAGCCGCUGCAAAAAACUGUAAUGCCGAUAUCAAGUUGUAGGCCUGUAGGAGGUGAACUGCAGGCCUGACUUCCAAUGCGCUGAUCAGGGACAGGGGCUACAGGAGCCGGAGGGUGCAGCCGGGGGACCCUGCCCCGACCCCCCUUUUCCUUCCCUGAGGGGCCCCACAACUCGGCUUCUGCUCGGAGGCGGAGACGCUGCCAAAUACAGAAUUAAGAUCGCGGCUGGCGGCCGCGGUGGGCGGGCCUACUUCUCCCGCCUCGGGUGACGUCGAGCGCCCAUCCACGGGGCCUCCCGGCCGCUCGCGGAGGAGCCAGUGCUUUAUCUCCGACUCGGCGGGUUCCGCUCCGCGGCGGGGGCGGGGCCGGGGGCGGGGCCGGGGGCGGGGCCACGGGCGCUGUGCUGAGCUCAUCUCAGGGCCGGGCGGGGCCACAAGCGACAGUAUUAGGGGCGUUCCGAGGCUCCGGAGGAGGGGUCCCCUUACCUCGCUCUUCGGGCCCGGCUCCGUGGGUUCCGCUCC
Molecule: long non-coding RNA, 2859 nt
Filed under: Canis lupus familiaris (dog)
Lineage: Eukaryota; Metazoa; Chordata; Mammalia; Carnivora; Canidae
Description: lncRNA (ENSCAFG00845027236.1)
Source: RNAcentral